GCCAGGUGUGGUGGCACACACCUGUAAUCCCAGCUACUUGGGAGGCUGAGAUGGGAGAAUCACUUGAGCCCGGGAGGCAGAGGUUGCAGUGAACUGAGAUCACACCACUGCACUCCAGCCUGGGCAACAGAGUGAGACCCUAUCCCAA
RNAcentral lists this non-coding RNA (148 nucleotides) under Nomascus leucogenys (northern white-cheeked gibbon). Lineage: Eukaryota; Metazoa; Chordata; Mammalia; Primates; Hylobatidae. The record is from Rfam by way of RNAcentral.